GAGUUUGAUCAUGGUUCAGGACGAACGCUGGCGGCGUGCCUAAUACAUGCAAGUCGAGCGAGCGGAACCAACAGAUUUACUUCGGUAAUGACGUUGGGAAAGUGAGCGGCGGAUGGGUGAGUAACACGUGGGGAACCUGCCCCUAAGUCUGGGAUACCAUUUGGAAACAGGUGCUAAUACCGGAUAAUAAAGCAGAUCGCAUGAUCAGCUUUUGAAAGGCGGCGUAAGCUGUCGCUAAGGGAUGGCCCCGCGGUGCAUUAGCUAGUUGGUAAGGUAACGGCUUACCAAGGCGACGAUGCAUAGCCGAGUUGAGAGACUGAUCGGCCACAUUGGGACUGAGACACGGCCCAAACUCCUACGGGAGGCAGCAGUAGGGAAUCUUCCACAAUGGACGCAAGUCUGAUGGAGCAACGCCGCGUGAGUGAAGAAGGUUUUCGGAUCGUAAAGCUCUGUUGUUGGUGAAGAAGGAUAGAGGUAGUAACUGGCCUUUAUUUGACGGUAAUCAACCAGAAAGUCACGGCUAACUACGUGCCAGCAGCCGCGGUAAUACGUAGGUGGCAAGCGUUGUCCGGAUUUAUUGGGCGUAAAGCGAGCGCAGGCGGAAAAAUAAGUCUAAUGUGAAAGCCCUCGGCUUAACCGAGGAACUGC
This 648-nucleotide ribosomal RNA is filed under the name uncultured Lactobacillus sp. RNAcentral describes it as "bacterial SSU rRNA". It matches the Rfam family "Bacterial small subunit ribosomal RNA", at positions 9 to 624 of the family's 1533-position model. The record is from RNAcentral. Lineage: Bacteria; Bacillati; Bacillota; Bacilli; Lactobacillales; Lactobacillaceae.